RNAcentral lists this unclassified non-coding RNA (201 nucleotides) under Melitaea cinxia (Glanville fritillary). RNAcentral describes it as "misc RNA ENSMCXG00005006378.1". The record is from RNAcentral. Lineage: Eukaryota; Metazoa; Arthropoda; Insecta; Lepidoptera; Nymphalidae.
ACAUAUUGACACAUGAUUUGCUACGUCAUGUGCUUAGUUCUUUUUUAAGUUUUAAGAUUUACACGGGUGCAAAAUAAAACACAAAUAUACAUGGCCGCUGUUCAACCAGAGAAGAGAGUUUAUUCCCAAGAGACUUAUUCUAUAGACAAGACCCCCAUAGACUAUAUAUUAUAUAAACUAUAAUCAUUACACCUACAACAC